CUUCAAAGGCAUUCGCGGUACCUCUUCAACUCAAGUGGUGGCAAGUCUGGCUGUAGCAGCGGAGCACCAUGUGAGAACAUCCAGGUUGGAGACAUCGAUCUUAAGUAUACCGGAAAGGAUGGGCCUGCAUUAUUCACCUGUUCGAACGUGAAGCCAAUUCUUAGCGGCAAGCAAAAUCCUCCUGCAUGCAGUGGUCCAGCUCCCCCUAAAGCUGCAGCAUGAGCUUAACCUAGAUCUUGAGUUUAGUUUGAAAGAAUGAUAAAUAUAAAGUAUUAUUAGGACAUAUAACAAAAUCUCAAAUAUUAAAAUUUUUGUACGAUACAAAUGAUAUAUAAUAAAAGAAAAUGCAUUGCAUUAUCUAAUAUUCAAAGGUGGCGUAUGAUUUAUAUAUUUUCUUCAAUUAAUUAUUACCACUAUAUGUACGUAUAUCAUCAAAUAAAGAUAAAAUUUUGAUAAAUUUUAAAUUGUAAUUUAAAAACAAAGCAGCAUGAUGAUUAAACACUGGAAGAAGAAAGGAAGUCAUAAGUUUCAGACAAAUAUUAAAAAAAUUUAUAUUCUCUGUGUAUAUGCAUGCAGUAGUAUUAACAAUUAAAUUAAAUUAAGAAUUAAAUACCGCCGGAAACAGAGGGAAGUCCGGCGGUGGGGGGACGUGAGGUGUUUUGAGGUUGACGACGGAGAGAGGGAAAGUGAGGGAGGAUUUUGCAGUUGGGAUUGGAGGGGAAGAAAGCAAAGGCUUAUCUUAACAUAUUAGGUGUAAUCAGACAGAGGUGAUUUUACUCAAAUCAAAUACGAAAUUUCGAAUAUGUAAAAUGAAAUAAAAUAUAAUUUGACUGCAAAUUAUACUCUAUAUAUAUAUAUAUAUAUACAUAUAUAAUAUAUGUAAAUAGAAGUAAUAUGAGAAGGUGUCACGUGUUAAGGCAUUAAUUUUUUAUUUUUAAAUAAUUAAAAUAAUCUAUCUAUAGCAUGAAAUUAAAAUAAUCUAAUUAGUUUUAAUGUCUUAUAAUAUUAUAGUUAAAAUAAUAUGUAACAGUCCUAAAAAUUCUAAAUAAAAUAAAUUAUAAAUUUAAUGAGUAAGCGAAAUAAAUAGUUAGGGUUUACAUUCCUUACACAAUAACUGAAAGUAUCAAAUUGGGUUUACGCGAAUACUUUUCUAAAAGAACAAUUAAUAACUAAAGAAAUAAAUUAAAAAUAAACGACUGAAAUUUUUACUCACAUUCCUCUUGUGGAUCGGUCUCUGUAUUAUGGUCAUCUUAAUCUGAAAUAAUUAAUGAAAAAAUUAGUUACACUACCCCAAUAAGAAUAUCAUGCUACUCACCGAUAAAACAUGCAUCACGUCCCAGUUUUUCAAUUUAACUAUAGUUACAUAGGGCAACAAUACAUGCAUUUAAAGCUAUAAAAUCGAUCAAUCAAAUAUUAUCAUACAUUCAAACUGUAAAAUAAAUCAACAGAAAUCAAUAGAGAAUAAUUUCUGGUUCUGCCUCCAUUAGUAACUCGUAAUUAAUUAUAGAUAUUUUCUAAAUUGCACAAAAUACCGUAUUAUUACUAAUUAGACUUCAAUUCUAUAAUAAAGAAUAAGGUGAGAGAUUCUUACUCAAAUUGAUGCCUAAAAUACUAAACUUGUUGACUGCGCCUACUAGCAGUCCCCAAAUUCCAUGAAUUUUUCUUUGGGGAUUAAAAUGCAUUACAUGUAUCUAGAAAUAUUUAAAAAAUCCAAAAUCAGUGUCAAUGCCCCUUUUUAGCCAAUUUCAGAAUUCUGGCACGGUGGCUCCACCGUGCUCCGGUGAUGGCAUCGCUGUCGCGGCGACAGUUUGCCUCAAGUCAAUUGUUUUCGAUCGUUUUCGGCUAAAUUCGGCUGGUUUUGUAUCAAUCCCUGCAAAAAAAUACGUUAAGAUGUCUCGAUUGACCGAAAAAAAUAAAAAAAUUAAAACUCACCGACGGCGGGGUUCUCUGGUGUAGCAGUUCCGCCGGCUCACAUUUGCAGUUGGGUGUUUUGCUUCGGUCAACCUGUAGAAAAGGAAACAGUUAUUACAAUGGUGGAAGAAUUAUGCAGAACGGGAAUUGGGAAGUACCUCAUCGGAGGUAUUUUUUAUAAUUUUCUGCGGCGGCGGCAUCGGAUUUUACCCGCAGUUUUUGGCCAAUCCACCAGAUUUUUUAUUCUGAUUUGGUCAUAAGGGUGUUUAAAAUUGAAUUUUGAGUAAAGAAAAAUUUUUUUUACCUCUUUUGGCGGUCGGAAGUGGUUCCGGCACGGCGGCGGGUGGCGCCAGCUUCCUUCCCAGUGGCUGGGUCUUCUCUGGCGGGGGAGGGGGAGUCUGAGGGCUAGGGUUAGGGUUUGGUGUGAAGAUAGUUAUUUAUAUCCGUUCUUUUUUAAUCUGGGUCAUCCAUCGUAUUUGAUCUGAACCGUCCGAUCGCGAUUAAAUAAGUAGUGAAUCUGGGUCGUUCAUCGCGAUCUGAUAUGGGCUGUUCGAUCGCGUUUAAAUAGAAAUUAGAUUUGGACCAUUGAUCGCGUUUAAAUCUGACCGUUCGAUCGCAUAUGGGAAGGGAACGCAUCCGAGCCUUCUGUGUGCGCGGGAGUGGAUCUGGAUCGUCUGAUCGUGGGCACGCAGAUCGCCAGCGUGGCCUCACGCGUGGUACCGCGUCAGCGUUCCUUGCUACGUGGCGCGCCCCGGUUCGUCGGGGCUGCUGAUUGGGCAUCCUACGUGACAUAACUUUCUUAAAUUACGUUUUGAUCUCUAUUUUCUGAUUUUUUUUUCAAAAAUACUCUCAGAAUUCAAAUUUUCACCCCUUUUUUCUCAAAAUUAUUUUUAAUUUCAUCAUUCACCUAUUUUUCUUCAUUUUUACAUUAAAUUAAAAUUCAAAAUUUUUAAAAAAAAAUUAUAUUUAUAAAUUAAUUUUAAAUACAUUAAAAUUAAUUGGAUAUUACAUAAUAUUUCAAAUAUAUAAAUUAUUCAGCGACAAUGUGUUUUAGUAGUAACCCAAUAUAAUUGUUCUUUUUAAAAAAAUAAUAUUUCAAAAUCUAAUUAGAGUUUAUACUAUUUAAUCAAGAGUAUUACUUAAAAUUAGAAUUUAGAUUGAGAGAUUGCUAUUAUUAUCUAUUAAAAUUGAUCUAAUUAAUUUUUUUGUUGUUGAAAUUAUAUUGUUUUUAUAAUUAAAAUUACAUAAUUGAAAAGAAAAGGAGUCAAAAGUAAAUCCAAAAAUAGCAUAAAUUAAUUUAGAUAAUUGAGAAUAAAACGGGUGACUUUUUCCCACUGCAUCCACUAUAAAUUGCUUCUUCAUCAUUACCAGAAAAAAUCGAAAGAACAAAUAAUGGGGUGUGUCAAGUUCCAUCUUCUUCUUCUCUUCUUGACAGUGCUGAUGGCAUCUCAUGCCGAAGCUGAAGACUUCGAUAUCACAAAGCAUGGUGCAACUCCUGAUGAAGAUAUUACCCAGGUAAUAUUAUUUUUCAACUAAGCUGGUAAAUUGUUAUUUUAACUUGUAAUGAUUAUUUCGUUUUGGUUCAGGCUUUAUCGGAUGCAUUCAAGGCAGCUUGUGAUGCUCCAACUAAGAGCAAAAUUAUAAUUCCCAAAGGAACAUUUCCUUUAAGCAAAAUAACAUUGGCUGGACCUUGUAAAGCUCCUGUUGAGGUUGAGGUUCUUGGCACGGUGCAAGCUCCGGCUGACACUAAAUCCUUUGUUGGAUUGGAUAGUUGGAUCACCUUUAGUUACAUGGAUGGUUUCACAUUAUCCGGCACUGGAACUUUUGAUGGCCAAGGUGCUUCUGCUUGGGAGGUCAACAAUUGCCACAAGUCUCAAGAAUGUGUCAAACUUCCCAUUGUAAGAUUCAUUAAACUUCAACAUAUAAACUCAUCACUGUAUUGAUAUCAUUCUCUUUACUUAAAAAUUAUGUGAAAUCUCAAUUCACUUCUUAAUGCAGGGUAUAAGGUUUGAUUUCAUCACCAAUGGAGUUGUUCAGGACAUAACUUCCUUAAAUGCUAAAUACUUUCAUUUCAACGUAUUGGGUUGCAAAAAUUUUGUUUUCCAACAUGUUACGAUCACUGCACCUGAAACAAGCGUCAACACUGACGGAAUUCAUAUUGGUCGCUCCGACGGUCUUAUAGUCACCGAUACUAACAUUGCAACUGGAGAUGAUUGCAUCUCUAUUGGCGACGGCACCAAGAACUUGACUGUCACAAAUGUGAUAUGCGGACCCGGUCACGGUCUUGCCAUUGGAAGUCUCGGAAGACAAGCGAAGGAAGAGCCGGUUGAUUUGAUCACAAUGCAACACUGUACUGUCAAGAAAGCUAUGUUUGGUGUCAGGAUCAAGAGUUGGCCUUCAGCUCCUGGAAAACCAACAGUUUCUAAUAUACGUUUUGAGGAUAUUACCAUGGAAGAUGUCUCCACUCCGAUGCUCAUUGAUCAAGAGUACUGCCCACAUAACCUGUGCAACUUGAAGGUAUUAAUUUAGAAUUAAAAGUAGUUUUAAAACGAAUGGAAAGCAGAAAAUGGUUAAUUAUUUCUCGAGUUUAACUUUUGUGAUUUGUACAGAGCCCUUCACUAGUUAAAAUUAGCAAUGUGAUCUUCAAAGGCAUUCGCGGUACCUCCUCAACUCGAGUGGUGGCAAGUCUAGCUUGCAGCAGUGGAGCACCAUGUGAGAACAUCGAGGUUGGAGACAUCGAUCUUAAGUAUACCGGAAAGGAUGGACCUGCAUUAUUCACUUGCUCGAACGUGAAGCCAAUACUUAGUGGCAAACAAGAUCCUCCUGCAUGCACCGAACAAGCUGGUGCUGAUCUCCCCGCAGCUGCAGCAUCAGCUUGAUCUAGAUACUGAGUUUUAAUUUGAAAUUACAGUAAGAAUAUAAAACAUUAUUAGGAAAUGAAAGGGAAGCUGAUCUUGAGAUGUAUAACAGGAUCUGAGAUAUUAAAAUUUUGUAAGGCGUAAUGAGAUAUAUUUAAAAUUUAUAAUAGAAAAUGCAAUUGAAGUAUCUUAAAUAUUAUAGUUGCAUAUGCUCUUUUGGGUAUUUAUAUUUUUCAUUAACGUUGAGGAAAAACAAUCCCAAGAAUGUAAGUUUGAUCUGGACUUGUUUCCAAACUUAUAAAAAUUUGGACUUUGAAUUAGAAAUGGG
RNAcentral lists this long non-coding RNA (5097 nucleotides) under Carica papaya (papaya). Its description in RNAcentral is "long non-coding RNA (CPAP_LNC008836)". The record is from RNAcentral. Lineage: Eukaryota; Viridiplantae; Streptophyta; Magnoliopsida; Brassicales; Caricaceae.